GAUGAACGCUGGCGGCGUGCCUAAUACAUGCAAGUCGAGCGAACAGACGAGGAGCUUGCUCCUCUGACGUUAGCGGCGGACAGGUGAGUAACACGUGGAUAACCUACCUAUAAGACUGGGAUAACUUCGGGAAACCGGAGCUAAUACCGGAUAAUAUAUUGAACCGCAUGGUUCAAUAGUGAAAGACGGUUUUGCUGUCACUUAUAGAUGGAUCCGCGCCGCAUUAGCUAGUUGGUAAGGUAACGGCUUACCAAGGCAACGAUGCGUAGCCGACCUGAGAGGGUGAUCGGCCACACUGGAACUGAGACACGGUCCAGACUCCUACGGGAGGCAGCAGUAGGGAAUCUUCCGCAAUGGGCGAAAGCCUGACGGAGCAACGCCGCGUGAGUGAUGAAGGUCUUCGGAUCGUAAAACUCUGUUAUUAGGGAAGAACAAAUGUGUAAGUAACUAUGCACGUCUUGACGGUACCUAAUCAGAAAGCCAAGGCUAACUACGUG
RNAcentral lists this ribosomal RNA (497 nucleotides) under uncultured bacterium. RNAcentral describes it as "partial 16S ribosomal RNA". It matches the Rfam family "Bacterial small subunit ribosomal RNA", at positions 28 to 507 of the family's 1533-position model. The record is from RNAcentral.